UCUAUAUUAGUGAAAAUUAUAUAUAUUCUGCUCUCCCCCUUGGAAUGUAGCUGCAUUUAAUAACUUAAUAACAUGAUUCCGUUAGUUCCAGGACGUUAAAAAGUUUUGUCCCCCUUCCAUGGUCGAUCAGACCCUUGCGCUGAAGUUCGACAUUUGGCAAAAACUUUGAAUUUCCAGGACAUUAAAUGCACUCUCCAGAAUAGUACAUACGAAUUUCCAUCAAUGGCUGCUUUAAUGAAAUCUAUUCAAGCAAUUGACCCUUUCAUAAAUAGAAUUCCGAAAGAUUUGAAAGAAUCCUUUUUAUCCGACUACAAGGCGGAGAUUCAUCAAGGUAUGGACGGCUUGGUUGAGGCGUCAGAGGAUGGAGAGGGGUUUAUUGUGCGUUAUAAGACAAUAACAUUAUAUGCCUCCAAAUUAUGACACAUGCUUCAAUUUUUAAGAGGGAUCAAGUUCCCAGAUGAAAAUAAUGACGAAAUUCGGAAAAUUGUAUCUCACCUACGGUUCUUGUUCUUUUUUCUACCAUUCGUCGACACUACACUUUUUGAAUAGAGGUACUUUUAGAUGCAUUCUGAAUCAUGUAAGAAAAUUCUCCUUCCUAGGAAAUAGAAGUGUAGCGUAAGAAACACGAAAACCACAUAUCUCUGCAAUACAAAUUUGAAAGCCUUCAAUUUGCGGGAUUUUCACGUGGACAUCAUGCAAUUGGUGCUCGGAUGCGUUGGUUGCUAGUACGUUGGGUUUUUUUUGAGGGGGGGGGGCGAGAAAACUAAACGAGAAAUACUAGUAUAUAGGAAUACUGAGUUGAUUCUGAAAAAAAGCAUUAGGCAGUUUGAAAUUGCUCCCUCUUAAUAAUGCCGAUUUGAUCAGUACAUCAAAGUAAAAAGGAAUCCUUGAACGGAUUCAAAAUUAGUUACUUUGGCUCAAAAAAAGUAAAUAAUGUGCAUGAAAUUCAGAGUGGAUUUGUUUUAGACAGUAAGGAAUACAAUUAAACGUUACCUGCUAAAUUGUAAAAAGAUAGGUAUCAAUGUUACCGUACUAUUUGAACUGAUAACAAACUAAGGUAUUAGAAUUCAUCUUUUUGAGAGAAGUUAUAACAUUUUUAUUGAUUUUGUAAAAUGUUUCUACAAUUUCAAAUGUAAUUUUGGAUGGAAUAAAUAAAAAAAUA
RNAcentral lists this long non-coding RNA (1162 nucleotides) under Bemisia tabaci. Its description in RNAcentral is "lncRNA ENSSSA2NGG007761". Lineage: Eukaryota; Metazoa; Arthropoda; Insecta; Hemiptera; Aleyrodidae. The record is from RNAcentral.